AACGAACGCUGGCGGUAUGCUUAACACAUGCAAGUCGAACGAACUUGCUUGGGGCUUGCUCCGAGUAAGUUAGUGGCAAACGGGUGAGUAACACGUGGGAAUCUACCUAUCAGUACGGAAUAACAUUUGGAAACAGAUGCUAAUACCGUAUAUUCUCUUCGGAGGAAAGAUUUAUCGCUGAUAGAUGAGCCCGCGUUAGAUUAGGUAGUUGGUAGGGUAAUGGCCUACCAAGCCGACGAUCUAUAGCUGGUCUGAGAGGAUGAUCAGCCACACUGGGACUGAGACACGGCCCAGACUCCUACGGGAGGCAGCAGUGGGGAAUAUUGGACAAUGGGCGAAAGCCUGAUCCAGCAAUACCGCGUGAAUGAUGAAGGCCUUAGGGUUGUAAAGUCUUUUAGUAGGGAAGAUAAUGACGGUACCUACAGAAAAAGCCCCGGCUAACUCCGUG
RNAcentral lists this ribosomal RNA (448 nucleotides) under uncultured bacterium. RNAcentral's name for it is "bacterial SSU rRNA". It matches the Rfam family "Bacterial small subunit ribosomal RNA", at positions 29 to 507 of the family's 1533-position model. The record is from RNAcentral.